GGAAAAUGGAAGUGGAAGAAGAGGAGGAGCCAAGCCACAAUAUUUAGGUCCGCAGAAAACGACACGCUGAUUUAUUUGAAGUCAAGGAUGGAGAUUAAAACGGCCUUUAAAAACACCACACCCGUUUUGUCCACCGCCAUCACCACCUUCUCCCAGAUCAAGGAAGUGUAUUACGGACUCACACAAAAGGAAGAGGUCCGCAGAAAACGACACGCCGAUUUAUUUGAAGUCACCACACCCAUUUUGUCCACCGCCAU
This 257-nucleotide long non-coding RNA is filed under the name Portunus trituberculatus (swimming crab). RNAcentral describes it as "uncharacterized LOC123513423, transcript variant X1". Lineage: Eukaryota; Metazoa; Arthropoda; Malacostraca; Decapoda; Portunidae. The record is from RNAcentral.